This 468-nucleotide ribosomal RNA is filed under the name uncultured bacterium. RNAcentral describes it as "partial 16S ribosomal RNA". It matches the Rfam family "Bacterial small subunit ribosomal RNA", at positions 28 to 507 of the family's 1533-position model. The record is from RNAcentral.
GACGAACGCUGGCGGCGUGCUUAACACAUGCAAGUCGAACGGAAAGGCCCUGCUUUUGUGGGGUGCUCGAGUGGCGAACGGGUGAGUAACACGUGAGUAACCUGCCCUUGACUUUGGGAUAACUUCAGGAAACUGGGGCUAAUACCGGAUAGGAGCUCCUGCUGCAUGGUGGGGGUUGGAAAGUUUCGGCGGUUGGGGAUGGACUCGCGGCUUAUCAGCUUGUUGGUGGGGUAGUGGCUUACCAAGGCUUUGACGGGUAGCCGGCCUGAGAGGGUGACCAGCCGCAUUAGGACUGUGAUGCAGCCCAGAGUGGUGCGGAAGGCAGCAGGGGCGAAUAUUGGACACUGGGCGGAAGCGUGAGGCAGCAACGCCGCGGGCGUGAUGAGGGCCUUCGGGUUGUAAACCGCGUUGGCCGGUGACGAAGCGUGGUUGACGGUAAAGGGAAAGGAAGCGCCGGCGAGAUACGUG